UAGUCACUCAAGGAGGUUACAACACCUUCUCAAGAUUGGCAGCCAUGUCUGGAGCUUUAUCUGUCUUUUUUUUCACGGUGUUCGUGAGGCCUAUAUCUGUGGAUUACAGGCUAUUGCAUUUGCUUUGUGGCUUCGGGUACCGAUUUUUAUAUAAUGAGACACAAAUUUCGACAUUUGUGGUUUGCUCCGUUAUCUGCACCCUUCUCAUAGUCGUUAGGCUCAACCUUGAUAUUUUUGCCCGAGAUGCGAUAACUGCUGCUGCGGAUUCCGUUAUGGUGGUACUGGUCCAGAUUCAGGUCUUGCUGCUUUUGCUGAGGUUCGGGGGAUUCCUCUACUAGUGGUGAUACUGUUGUGCAUUCGGGUUUUGCUGCUGAUGAGGUGCGUCUUUUACCUUCUCAUUCUGAUACUGAUGUUUUCGAGGAUAUGGUGGUUGCUGGUGAGGUCCAUCUUCUUGCUCCCCUUGCAGAUAUUGAUCUUUCUCUUCCCGAUAUUGAUCUUGAGAUUCCUCGUGGAUUUGUUGGUGACAAGAUUCGUUGGUCUGAGGGUGAUGACUUCUAGAGAUGACAUAUGACAUUUCAUUCUUUUGAGAGAGCUAGCUAGCUAUAGUCAAUCCUUAGGUUUUUGUGCUUCUUUCUAGGUUUCAAGUAGUUCAUCUAUAUGUCGGGCUUUAAUGUAAUUAAAUGAUGCCUCUAGGUGAGAAUUGAUAUCUGGCUUUAAGUCGGGCAUAAGGCUGGCAACGGAUCGGAACUGGUACCGGAACUUUCGUAGCGAUUUUGCUUCCAGAAUUGGUCUUACCGAAAUUUUUUAGUUGUUCGCACCGGUCCGCUUGCUAUCGGUGUGGACCGGAGCGAUACCGGAAUUACUGGAAAUAAAAAGUAUGUGAACAGCUGCAAUGAAAAUUUAACUGCAGCAACAGUACUUAUUCGCUGUUGUGGUAACACAGAAAAAUUUUUCUUUUAAAAAAACCAAAAAGCAUUUCCAUUCUCUACUCUUUUGAAAAAAAAUGCAAUAAGGCCCAGGGGAAGGCAACUUUCAAAGGGUUGUGGAUUGUUUCAUCUUUGGGGGUUGGUAAUUACAUUUCUUAAAUUUACUUUAUUUAACCUUAGAAAAUCACUAGAAAUGAAUUAGUGGUGGAUUUUGGGGUUUAACCUUAGUUUGUGAAAAUUGAUGAGAAGUGACGAGAUUGUUUAUAAAUUUAGUAUGUAAUGAUUCUAGGGUAUUAGAAAACACCAAUGGGACUAGAAUUUUUCCUUGUUUACGCUAAUUCAAGUAAAAUCCAUGAGGUUUAAGAGAUAUAAAAUCCUAAUAUGAUGAAAUAGGAUGAGUUUAUGGCUAAAAUUGAUGAUUUUUGAUUCCUAAUAGUUAAAAAGGGAAUAAUUAUUGAAAUGAAUGUAUAUUAUUGUCGUUAUAGAUUAAGAACGAGAUCAAAAGGCAAAAGUAUCGCUUAAAGGUGACUUUGAGCAAAAAAUUGAGGUAGUAUGGUUUUGUUAUAGAACUUAGACUCUCUUGGCUUUGUGCUUGUCUGUGAACGUGAAUCUAUAAUUGCCUUCUGGACUGACUUGUGAUUUAAUUACUGCAUUGCAUUUUUAUUUGCACUAUGCUGAUAUGUUGAGAUGAUGGAUCGGGUACCACGCUAAUAGGGUGGUGAUCUUUUGUGAGAAUAGGUCGGGUACCAUGCUGCUAUGAAUAUAAUAUGCUAUGAUAAUGGGUCGGGUACCACAUUGGUAUGAUAUGAUAUUGAUAAUGAGGUUGAGGGGGGGAAAAGAUGAUGUACACAUCUUGCAUACAUGCCUUCACAUAUAUGCAUUGGGGGUGCCUUAUGAUGAUUAUACAAUAAUGAUGAGUUGAUGAAAAUGACUAAGUAGAAAAGUCUGUAAAAGUAAACUUGUGAGUUUUAAUUGUAUGAUGAUAUAUAAUGUGUGUAAUCGAAUGAUAUCAUUAGUUAUAAGUCCAGUUGUGAUUGCUUUUAUACUUAUUUGGUUUUCUUACUUGUACAUUGUGGAGUUAGCUUGCCUAUGAUGCUUAUCAUUACUUGUUAAUGUACUGAUGCUACCCGUACUUUUUUUCUUGAGUGUAGAACAUCUUCUAGAAGUUGACAUAUGAGCUCAACUCUAGUUAGCAGUUCAGAACCAAUUUUGAGGGUGAGCACCAUGUCCGGGAAACCUUCAGAUCUUCUUAUAAUGUUGAUAUCUCUUGUUUCAUAACUAAUAUGAUUCUUUUUUGUUAUGUAUUAGAUGUUGUUAGUUUUUUGUGGCUUAGCUUAUUCUUAGAUUUUCUUGUAUGGUAUCUUCAAGUCUUGGAAAUGUAAUAAGUAGAGGUUUUCAUACUCUAUUGUUUUGAAUAUUGGUGUUGACUGAUGGGUGACUUAAAUUAUUGAAUAACUUCUAUUUUACAUUUGAUUAACUCUAGAAAUUGAUAUAAGUGAAUAUAAGAGUAACACCUGAUUUAGUAAUAGUGAGAUUAGUAUGGUUCUCCAGCCAUAGGUUAGGGUGGGUACCAAUCAUUAAUGGUUAGGUCGUGAUAGCGAACCAUAGUAUUCACUUAGUUAGUCAAGAUUCUCACAAAAUUUAAUCCAUUCCAUACCACGAAUAUCACAUCAAUGGGGUACAACAACAGUUAGCCACAUUAUUAAAUCCUAAUUUAGUUUUUAUAAUUUUUGUCUUUUCAAACACUAUGCUCGAAGGUCUAAUACACGAGGACUCCCGAACUUACUAUUAAUAUUAUACUAAUAUAGCCCAAGUCUAAUUACUACAAUAAAUAAACCAUAAAAUACCUUGUAUAUGAAACAUAAUGCUAUUGGGUAGAGAGAGUUGUCCUGUGAAUGCUCAGUGUCAUCCCAUGUCAUGUUCCUACUAGGUGUGCCUCAAAAUCACUCUUAUGAAGCCAGGACUUUGAAAUCUCAUGACUAUGGAAGUGGUGUUUGUUCUGGGUGUUUUUUUUUAGGGAUAAGGGAAGUUGGGAAGGGUUAAAACAAAAGAGGGUUUUAAAAUAUCUCAGGCUAGUUACUAUUGGGUUUCAUAGCAGUGGUUAUUUUACCACUGUAGUUAUUAACUUACCACUGUAGCAUAGGUUGUAGACCAACCUAAUUCUUUUUGUGGGCCUUUUUCUUUGAGCCUCAUUUUUAUUCAUGAAAUAGUUUGCUUUUUAAUAGUCACAAAAUUUUUCUGAGGUGUUUCAUAUGUAAAGUUAUUUUGGAUAAUUAUAUUGUAUACCAAUUUAUCCUCUGUUCAUCCCCUACCGACUAUAGAUAAGGAAUAAAGAGUCUUUGGAACGACUAUACAAGGAAAUUUUAUUUAUGAUCCAUUAAAAAGGAUGAUAAUCUUAAUUCUUCACUAGUUUGCAUUGGCCUACUGAUGUGCUAUAGAAAUAUAACACUUUCGAUGCUUAAAAUGAGGAAAAUAUGCAAAUUUUUGAGGUUAUUUUGUUAGAUAUGAUGACUUUUGGUUAUGUUUUGUAG
Molecule: long non-coding RNA, 3457 nt
Filed under: Capsicum annuum
Lineage: Eukaryota; Viridiplantae; Streptophyta; Magnoliopsida; Solanales; Solanaceae
Description: long non-coding RNA (CANN_LNC002781)
Source: RNAcentral